CCUACGGGUGGCAGCAGUGAGGAAUAUUGGUCAAUGGUCGGGAGACUGAACCAGCCAAGCCGCGUGAGGGAUGAAGGUACAGAGUAUCGUAAACCUCUUUUGUCAGGGAACAAAGGCGGGGACGCGUCCCCGGAUGAGGGUACCUGAAGACAAAGCAUCGGCUAACUCCGUGCCAGCAGCCGCGGUAAUACGGAGGAUGCGAGCGUUAUCCGGAUUUAUUGGGUUUAAAGGGUGCGCAGGCGGUCUGUUAAGUCAGCGGUCAAACCCCGGGGCUCCACCCCGGCCCGCCGUUGAAACUGGCAGUCUCGAGUUGGAGAGAAGUAUGCGGAAUGCGCGGUGUAGCGGUGAAAGGCAUAGAUAUCGCGCAGAACCCCGAUUGCGAAGGCAGCAUGCCGGCUCCACACUGACGCUGAGGCACGAAAGCGUGGGUAUCGAACAGGAUUAGAUACCCUUGUAGUC
RNAcentral lists this ribosomal RNA (459 nucleotides) under uncultured bacterium. Its description in RNAcentral is "partial 16S ribosomal RNA". It matches the Rfam family "Bacterial small subunit ribosomal RNA", at positions 338 to 795 of the family's 1533-position model. The record is from RNAcentral.